CACCUAACAGCUAGCCCCACCCCCAAACACAAAACACAACUAUUAAUACCCCCUAAUACACUUAGCUAAACAAAACAAAUCAUUUUUCCCCCCGAGUAUAGGCGAUAGAAAAG
Molecule: ribosomal RNA, 113 nt
Filed under: Arothron nigropunctatus (blackspotted puffer)
Lineage: Eukaryota; Metazoa; Chordata; Actinopteri; Tetraodontiformes; Tetraodontidae
Description: partial 16S ribosomal RNA
Source: RNAcentral